UUAAAUCUUAAUGUAUUUUUCCAUUUUUAGUGUAAAGCGGCAAUGUUUAAUAGAAGAACUUGGACAAAUAGUCAAAUAGUUAUAUUUAUGUUUUUUUUCUUUUUUUUUAUAUAAUGGUAAUGUUACAUUAUGGAGAUAAGCCGUUUUUUUAGUGAAAAUUGUAAUCUUACAUAUGUUUAAUGUAAUUUUUCUAUUUUUUUAUGUUGUGUGUUUACAUAUUAUUGUUAUUUUUAAAUGUAAAAUGGUAAUCUUACAUAUGUUUAAUGUAGUAUUUCCAUUUUUUAUGUUGUAUGUUUACAUAUUAUUUAUUAUUUUCAAAAUUAUAUAUAAUACUUUUUUUACAAAAUAGUAAUAUUACAUUAUGGAGAUAAGCCGUCUUUUUUUUAGUGAAAAAUGGCAAUCUUACAUAUGUUUAAUUAAUGUAGUUUUUCCAUUUUUUAUGUUGUAUGUUUACAUAUUAUUAUUUUUAAAUAAAAAUGUAAAAUAGUAAUCUUACAUAUGUUUAAUGUAGUAUUUCUUUUUUUUUAUGUUGUAUGUUUACAUAUAUUUAUUAUUUUUGAAAUUAUAUAUAAUGUUUUUUGUUUUUUUUUAUAAAACGGUAAUGUUACAUUAUGGAGAUAAGCCGUCUUUUUUUUUAAGUGAAAAAUGAUAAUCUUACAUAUGUUUAGUGUAGUUUUUCUAUUUUUUGUGUUGUAUGUUUACAUAUUAUUUAUAAUUUUCAAAAAUUUGUAAUAUUUGUAAUAUUAAAAUGUAAAACUAUAUUUUAUGACACGUGUCAUCUUUCGAGAGAAGUUUUUUUUGCUGAUGUGGACGCUCUAUGGAGCCUCAAAAGGUCCCUUUUAUUAGUAAAAAUGUAAAAUAGUAAUCUUACAUAUGUUUAAUGUAGUAUUUCUUUUUUUUUAUGUUGUAUGUUUACAUAUAUUUAUUAUUUUUGAAAUUAUAUAUAAUGUUUUUUGUUUUUUUUUAUAAAACGGUAAUGUUACAUUAUGGAGAUAAGCCGUCUUUUUUUUUAAGUGAAAAAUGAUAAUCUUACAUAUGUUUAGUGUAGUUUUUCUAUUUUUUGUGUUGUAUGUUUACAUAUUAUUUAUAAUUUUCAAAAAUUUGUAAUAUUUGUAAUAUUAAAAUGUAAAACUAUAUUUUAUGACACGUGUCAUCUUUCGAGAGAAGUUUUUUUUGCUGAUGUGGACGCUCUAUGGAGCCUCAAAAGGUCCCUUUUAUUAGUAGAGAUGUUUUUUGCAUAGGCUUACGUUGUGUAACUCAGGUUAUGUUCUGAAUUUCUUAUUUAGGUUUUGAC
RNAcentral lists this long non-coding RNA (1294 nucleotides) under Brassica rapa (field mustard). RNAcentral's name for it is "long non-coding RNA (BRAP_LNC006517)". The record is from RNAcentral. Lineage: Eukaryota; Viridiplantae; Streptophyta; Magnoliopsida; Brassicales; Brassicaceae.